Molecule: ribosomal RNA, 440 nt
Filed under: uncultured bacterium
Lineage: Bacteria
Description: partial 16S ribosomal RNA
Rfam family: Bacterial small subunit ribosomal RNA
Source: RNAcentral
GCUACGGGAGGCAGCAGUGGGGGAUAUUGCACAAUGGGGGAAACCCUGAUGCAGCGACGCCGCGUGUAGGAAGACGGUCCUCUGAAUUGUAAACUACUGUCUCCAGGGACGAAGAUGACGGUACCUGGUGUGGAAGCUCCGGCUAACCACGUGCCAGCAGCCGCGGUAAUAUGCAGGGGGCGAGCGUUGUCCGGAAGUACUGGGGGAAAAGGGAGCGGAGGCGGUGGUGCAAGUUGGGUGUUAAUUCUACCGGUUCAACUGGUAGUCGCACUCGAAACUGCAGCGCUUGAGAGAAGUAGAGGCAGGCGGAAUUACUAGUGUAGCGGUGAAAUGCGUAGAGAUUAGGAGGAACACCAGUGGCGAAGGCGGCCUGCUGGGCUUUUACUGACGCUGAGGCUCGAAAGUGUGGGGAGCAAACAGGAUUAGAUACCCGAGUAGGC